This 252-nucleotide ribosomal RNA is filed under the name uncultured prokaryote. Its description in RNAcentral is "partial 16S ribosomal RNA". It matches the Rfam family "Bacterial small subunit ribosomal RNA", at positions 524 to 775 of the family's 1533-position model. The record is from RNAcentral.
UACGGAGGAUGCAAGCGUUAUCCGGAUUUAUUGGGUUUAAAGGGUGCGCAGGUUGUUUGAUAAGUCAGUGGUGAAAGUCUGUCGCUUAACGGUCGGAUUGCCAUUGAUACUGUUGGACUUGAAUAUGGAUGAGGUAGGCGGAAUGUGUAGUGUAGCGGUGAAAUGCAUAGAUAUUACACAGAACACCGAUUGCGAAGGCAGCUUACUAAUCCAUCAUUGACGCUGAGGCACGAAAGCGUGGGGAGUCAAACA